UACGGGGGGGGCAAGCGUUGUUCGGAAUUACUGGGCGUAAAGCGCACGUAGGCGGAUACUUAAGUCAGGGGUGAAAUCCCGGGGCUCAACCCCGGAACUGCCUUUGAUACUGGGUAUCUCGAGUCCGAGAGAGGUGAGUGGAAUUCCGAGUGUAGAGGUGAAAUUCGUAGAUAUUCGGAGGAACACCAGUGGCGAAGGCGGCUCACUGGCUCGGUACUGACGCUGAGGUGCGAAAGCGUGGGGAGCAAACAGG
RNAcentral lists this ribosomal RNA (253 nucleotides) under uncultured bacterium. RNAcentral describes it as "partial 16S ribosomal RNA". It matches the Rfam family "Bacterial small subunit ribosomal RNA", at positions 524 to 776 of the family's 1533-position model. The record is from RNAcentral.